This is a long non-coding RNA of Anthonomus grandis grandis, 402 nucleotides long. RefSeq lists it as uncharacterized. The record is from RefSeq and is a predicted model, not a curated record. NCBI's taxonomy places the organism in Eukaryota, Metazoa, Arthropoda, Insecta, Coleoptera, Curculionidae. The transcript is spliced from 2 exons.
ACAAUUUACUCUUGUUUGUGUAAAGUAUUAACCUUCAACAUUAUUAAAAGUAAUUGAAAUUUUAAGAUAACAAUUAUAUCAAAUGCUAUAAAUUGCAUAAUCGUAACCUUCCUUAAAAUGAUAUUUGGAAAAAAACUAAUAAUUUGGAAGAGUAUUAUGAGAAUUUGUAUUUGUGCUUCUGUAUAUGGGAAGCAAACUGCUCACUUUCAAUGCUCAAGGUCUGAACUUAAUCUCCUUUAUAAAGCUCAGUUUCACCUUCUCUAGGUCACGUCACCAUCUCUACUUUGGAGUCGCUCAAGCACCCAGUUGUUUUACAAGGUGUUUAUUCUAUUUUCAUGAUUUAUUUUGGACUAUUUUGAAUUUAUUUAACGUAUUAAAAAAUUAUAAAAUUAUUUAAAUGAC